Molecule: non-coding RNA, 35 nt
Filed under: unclassified sequences
Description: DUF805b RNA
Rfam family: DUF805b RNA
About the family: Bacteroidetes, Chlorobi (1 example), Proteobacteria.
Source: RNAcentral
UUGGUGGUACCCGAAAAACCAUAAAAGAGUAGGGG